UAAAGAGGAGGCCUAGAACUCCCCACUCCAAGAGCCCUGGAGAAUCCCGGUCUGGCCUGAGAAGAUCAGGAGUUUGGGAUAAAUUGCUAGAGAGGCCUUGUCCUCAUGUGGGCCAAGUAAGCCCUUAAAAUGGGUGCCCAGCAAAGCAAGGGGGUCUGAGGUGGCCCAGCUCUGUCCCUGCUCCCCACAGACACCUGCUACCCUGGGCAUCCUACAGCUGCACUCAAUCUGCCCCUCCUUCCUUCCUAGGCCUUAGGAAAUAUCUGUUCAUUUUGUUUCUUUCCACUUUCUCUCUCCCCUUCUUCCUGUCUCCCUUCAUCUGCCUGCUCCUCCCCAAUCUGUCCUGAAGAGUACAUUUCUUUCCCCAUCAGGGAGCCUUGUGGGAAUCUGGGGGGCCUGGGGCUGAGGAAGAAGAGACUUCAGAUCCAAGAGCAGCCCUGAAGGAUUGAGGGAGGCAGAAGGGGUGUCAGCCACUGGGCAGAGGAGUUCCUGGCAGCAGGGAGGGCCAUGAGAUAAUUAGCCCUAGAGCUUUCUAGGCCUCUGGAAAGAUGUGGGGUACAGGAACAGAAGGGAAGGAAGAGGCAGGUCAGGACUGGGGGAACUCAGGUUCCCUGGCCUGCCUGACAGAGACAGCACAUGGUAGAGUUGAGAGGGGAGCCAGGGUCAGGGACAGGGCAGGCAAUGGGAAAGAACAGGGACAUUCCCAGGCUCAGGAGUCCCCAGGUCUCCCAGGGGAGGGUAGUCCUCGCCUGAGGUUAGGUGGCGGGCCCCGACUGGCUGGGAGUGGGUUUCUGUACGUGGCUGGAGGUGAAUCACACCUUCUGUGUGGGUUGCAUGUUUAUAUGUGGGUGUGCCGAGUCAGCAUGCGUUGUCCUGCGUGUCUGCUGGUGUAUGUAGGUGUUACUGGUGGGUGACAGGUCAAGGGUGUGCCCUGGUGAAGCGGGAGGGUGCCUGUGUGUGUCUGUGGGCCUCUAGACCUGAGGAACCAUGCUUGAGUUUGUUCUCAGAAUGUGCUGGCAUAUCUGUGUGCCACGUGUCCCUUUCUCUGUCUCUGUGUGUCCUACUGAAAUCGGCUGUGUGCAGGAGUGUGUCUGCGUAUGUGGGUGUGUUUGUGCAGGGGCCAGGGAAGGGUUAUUCAUAGAAGCAAGAACUGACUCUGGUGGGACACUCGUGCAGAGAUGGGGAGGCACGUUGGGUGGGUAGGUGGGGGGCAGGCACUGUGUACACCAACGUGCUCCGAAUUCCAGCAAACUCCAGUGCCUGAGUUUCCAGCUGUCCCAGCUCAACUGUGCACAGAUGUGUGCCGCUUUGCUACAGCCAUAAACAGACCUCCCAGGAUUUUUCCAGAGGAAACGCAGAAAUAUUUUGGUGUCUGCUCUUGGUAGUAGGAAAGAGAGUGGGGAUGAGGCUUGAGGCUAGGGCUUCGAAACAGAGGGACCACAGUCAGAGGGGAGCUGAAGAGGCAACAGCAUCCCCCACAGGCCAGCAGGGUGGGGGAAGAGCUGUGAUGGCUUCCAGUUGUGGGGUCCUCUCUAAGGCCCCAGCUAGCAGCUGGAAAGUGAAGUCCCAGUUGCCAGUGUAGGGGCAAAGAAGGAAAGCUUCCCCCUUCACCCUCUGAAGGUUUGCAGAAAGUGAGCUGACAAAAAGCAGAUCAAUAGAAAAAAGAGGUAAACGGAUGUUAUUUAACAUGCAUAGCACAGGGGUAUGGCGGGAGAAUGAUUACCCGAUAACCCAGAGAGGUCCAGGUGCUUGUAAACCCUUCUUUAUAGUGGAAAGAGACAAGGUGUUACAGGCAUAAAUACUUUUAUGGUGGGGGAUGAAUGGAGCCAGGAGGCAGGCAUUAUCUUGUGAAUGAUUCUUUUUGGAAACUGAAUGGGACCAGAGAACAAACAAUAGUUUGAGACACAGUUUGGGCUCUAGAUGUGGUGUUUCGUGAUCAGUCUCUUCCUCUGUGGUAGGAGUUUUCAUCUCCUCUGAUUAAUGAAAUUUCAGGAGAGGGAUCGAAGGCAAUUCUGCUCCUGCUUGGGAGUCCAGUUUCCAGUUCGAUAUGGGAGCUUCAGAAGACAGCCUCAUCCUGUGCUUUGGGAGAGACAGGGGCUUUUGUGGGAGGUAGGUCAGAGAGACCUGGAGGCUGCUUCUUCAAUUCAGCAUGUCAAAGUGCCAUCUUUGUGGGUAUCAUUUUCUGAGCCCUAAUACCACAGAUGCUGGCCCCCCAGAGCCCAGGCCACUGCUGCUCCACCCUUCCCUGUCCCCCAACCCCACGGGCUGUACCACAGAUACACACACACCCCCACCACCACCAGCCCACCACUCAACAUCCAAACACACAAAGACACUACACAAACCAGCCACCCUGCACGCACCUCACCACCACAUUCACAUACGCACUCACUUGUUCUCUCACACAUCCUAUGCCCACAGUUCUAGGACCACAGUCACAGACACCUCACAAACACCUCACUGCACACAUGCUCUGAGCCAUACACCCUGGCACAAUGCACACCGACCCCACCUCACCCCACGCCCCUACACACAGGUCCAGACUUCCCCAAGCCAAGGAAGGGGCAUGACACUCUUCUUAGGCCUCUCAUCAGAGCAAAGUCUGUAAAGGUUUAGAAGAGUGUGAGGUGUUCCUGUCCAACAGGAUUACCUUGGGAGAAAAGUGGCCUCUUCUCAGCAGGUGACCCUGGGGAUGGGCCCCGGCUGCUCUUUGCCCUCUGAGGAACUUACAGCCCAGCAGCAAGGAUGACCAUGGACUGUGCUGCAAGCCACUCCACACCCUGCAAGGGAGCGGAAUAAAGUGCUCUGGAGUCCAGUGGUGGGAGAGAACACUGCCAAGCUGAGAAGGCAGGCAGGCUUCCUGGAAGAGGUGACAUGUGGGCAGGCUUUGACCAAUGGGCAGCAUUUACCUGUGAAGGCCAUGGGGGUAGGGAGAAUUCAGCCUCACUCCUACCCACAAAGCUCUCUAGCACCAGGAACCAGUUUCAUGAAAGACAAUGUCUCCACGGAUGGGAGGGCAGGAAGUGGAUGGUUUGAAGAUGAAACUGUACCACCUCAGAUCAUCAGGAAUUAGAUUCUCAUAAGGAGUGUGCAAUUCGCAAUAGGGUUCACAUCCUUUGAGAAUCUAACGUUGAGGAGCAUGGGCGGUGGGGGAACCCCUGCUGUAGCACAUCAUCUUGUUUUAUUGUAUUCAUAGCACUUAUCUGAAUUUAUCUUGUUUAUUUGAAUAUCUGUUUUCUUUUGUCUCCACCUCUACAACGUAAGCUAAAGCCUCCUGUGUCUUGUCCACCACACUUAGUGACUGUGUCCCCAGCACUUAAAACAGUGUCUGGUGCUCUUUAAAGGGAGGAAGAAAGGGAGACAGGGAGGGAAGGAGGAAGAGAGAGAGAGAGAGAGAGAGAAGGGAGGCAGGGGAAAAGCUCACCUGCCAAGGCACAGGACCUGAAGGCCAGUCUGGCAGGAAGAAGAUGAUGGCAGGCCUUGAAUACAGGUUGAGGAAGGUGGACUCAACAUUUGCCAGUGGGGAGCCAUGAGGUUUAUGAGCAGGGCAGUGAUGCAUACAGGCCAGUGGUCCCUGGGCCAGCCAUUUAUGCUGCAGAAUCUCCUUGACUAUGAAACAUAUGGGUCUCUGAUUUAGCCAAUUGACAGGUAAACUCUACCUAGUCACAGGAUUCAACCAUGACCUUUGGCAGUAUAGGUACAUACAUAAACCUAUUAUACAGCAUUUUAGCUUACAUUGUAGGGGUGGGGCCGGCCAAACACAGAUGUUCAGAUAAACAAAAUAAAUUCACAUAUGCCUUCUCUCCUUAGCUUCACCCUCAGACCAUCCCACAGAAAUAGGUCCUAGAUGGAAACAGCUUAUGGUACAAAAGUCAUGUCUUUGAGAAAACACAUUUGCAUGGAACAGCCAUACCAUUACCUUUCUCUAAAGCACACACGGAGGACAGUACGGCAUGCAGAAUGGAGAGGGAAGUGGCUAGAUCGCUCAUACCUUCCUAGGAGCCCCCUUCUACCCUUUCGAAGUGGACCAAGCCAGUGCCUAGUGUCUCACCCUUGCUAAAGAAUAGCUCACUUGAUUUUAGGGCCAAAGAAGAGGGUGGUAAGGCCAGGCAGGGGCUGAACGAGAACCCUCUCGUGAGCUACCUGCCCACUUUCCAAAACUGAGCAGGACAAAUGCAACGGGGAGGUUUCAUUUUAAAUGUUCUCCAGUUGGAGAAGGGCUUUAAUCUCAACAACGAAGACUCGCCAGCCCUUCAGCCCCUGGGCCUAGGGCUGAAAGCUCUGGGCCUUCACGGAGAGGUCCACUGUCUGCAGAGUCCUGGCCAUAGCUGGGAAGGAGGGAUCCUGGGCUCUGGUCUUGACUACAGGACAUCUGGUAUCUCUGUUGGAGCCAAGUCGAAUCAGAUGCUCAGGCUCCUAGUGGGAAGGGGCAGAGCAGCAGAGAGAUCUGACCUGGAAAGAGCAUGUGGUGGGUGCAGGCACAGGGCUCUGGAUGCAGGACUGCAGCCCUAACUCUACCGCAGGACAGCUCUGCUACCUUAGGCAGCUCCGUUACGCUUUCUGCACCACAAUUUCCUCAUCUGCAAAAUGGAGAAAUCAUCACUCUGCCUACUUCAGAAGAGCACUGUGGGGAUCAAAUGAGCUGAAAGGGAGAUGAAAGGAGUUUGCGCUGCACACAGGGAGAUGAUGAGGCCAUGCCCUCCUCACUGUGGCACAGAACACGGUAGCAGGAGGGACUAGAAAGGCCCUGUACUCAGAAUUAAUUAGGAGGCUCUUGUUUCUUGAUAACUGCCCAGGGCCUGAAUCCCAGCCCCACUUCUCACCUGUAGGUGACCAUGAACCAGACAUCUCAGCCCUCUGGGAGGCUUGUCUUUGAAG
RNAcentral lists this long non-coding RNA (4878 nucleotides) under Homo sapiens (human). RNAcentral describes it as "HSALNT0365309". Lineage: Eukaryota; Metazoa; Chordata; Mammalia; Primates; Hominidae. The record is from RNAcentral.